UCCUUGUGUCGCUAUAAAUGGCAGAACAAGGUAACUGAAUAUGUCAAUCUCCUGGUUCUAGCUCUUUGCCAAGUCUGCUCUGAGGUUUAGCCAAACAGCCUCACCAGCUUGUAGAAUACGCGCCUUUGCUAAGCAAAGUCCUACCGUCCCUUUCUGUCUUAUCCUCUUUUAAACCAAUACACAAAUCACAGCUGGCUCACGGACGUGAUAAGCAUUUC
This 218-nucleotide long non-coding RNA is filed under the name Bos taurus (domestic cattle). Its description in RNAcentral is "long non-coding RNA NONBTAT011176". Lineage: Eukaryota; Metazoa; Chordata; Mammalia; Artiodactyla; Bovidae. The record is from RNAcentral.